UUUGAUCAUGGCUCAGAUUGAACGCUGGCGGCAGGCCUAACACAUGCAAGUCGAGCGGCAGCGNGNAAAGUAGCUUGCUACUUUUGCCGGCGAGCGGCGGACGGGUGAGUAAUGCCUGGGGAUCUGCCCAGUCGAGGGGGAUAACAGUUGGAAACGACUGCUAAUACCGCAUACGCCCUACGGGGGAAAGGAGGGGACCUUCGGGCCUUUCGCGAUUGGAUGAACCCAGGUGGGAUUAGCUAGUUGGUGGGGUAAUGGCUCACCAAGGCGACGAUCCCUAGCUGGUCUGAGAGGAUGAUCAGCCACACUGGAACUGAGACACGGUCCAGACUCCUACGGGAGGCAGCAGUGGGGAAUAUUGCACAAUGGGGGAAACCCUGAUGCAGCCAUGCCGCGUGUGUGAAGAAGGCCUUCGGGUUGUAAAGCACUUUCAGCGA
This 437-nucleotide ribosomal RNA is filed under the name Aeromonas hydrophila. RNAcentral describes it as "bacterial SSU rRNA". It matches the Rfam family "Bacterial small subunit ribosomal RNA", at positions 12 to 442 of the family's 1533-position model. The record is from RNAcentral. Lineage: Bacteria; Pseudomonadati; Pseudomonadota; Gammaproteobacteria; Aeromonadales; Aeromonadaceae.